Molecule: long non-coding RNA, 2456 nt
Organism: Rhododendron vialii
Lineage: Eukaryota; Viridiplantae; Streptophyta; Magnoliopsida; Ericales; Ericaceae
Exons: 3
Source: RefSeq, a predicted model, not a curated record
UUAGGGUUAGUUUUUUUUUUUUGGAGUGAAGUACUUGGUUAGUUUGAUAUGAAGCAAUUCUGAAUUUUAUUGUAUUGUUUUUGUUGUAGAAAUCUAAUUUUAGUAUUUUCCAUGAAUUAGGAUUGAGGACAUCUAUCUUACCUUCUUUGCAGCGUAAUCCAAUGAGAAAUACCUUCAACUGAGAGUUGUAUUUAUAGCAAUAUUCAUUACAUCAGUUCCUUUACUGUUAAUCCAAGAAUAUUGAACGACCCAUCCCUUUACCAAGUCUACCCACUUUACUCGUCUUACCAUCUGCCUUUCGUUGUUUUCCACAGUGGGUACUUGACAGAUGUUAAAAAAGAACAAAUGUCUGGAUCAUUUUUUGCAACCCCCCCUGUUUGCAUUGCCAAAUUAUUUCCGAUGCUUCUAUAUUAUGUCGUUUCACCUUAGCAAAUGUCAAACUCAUUUGCAGAAAAUAGGGUUAUUACUCAUGAAUGAAAGUAUUUCUCUAAUCAAGUUUUAAUCCAACAGGCACAAUAUUUUCGUGUGAAGCACAACAGCAGCACUUGAGGCCGAAACCAUAGGUAAGCGACUGGCCAUUAGUAAAAUACAAAACGAUCAUCUACCAAACGAACGAACUUGAAAAAGAUAAUCUGUAAUUUGCCCAUAUUUUACAACAAUCUCCAAAAUCAACCCAAAUGACCCAAAAAAUAAACAAUAAACUCUAAGUACAUUUAAUUAUUAGCCCAACAAGCUAGACUGACUUUCCACCGCAAAAAUGAGAUUUUGGUGCCGUAAUGAGAUUUCGUUUGUUUUAGUGAUGUGAAACCUGGAAUUCUUUUAGGGUAUUGAUAUGUUUUUGUUUUGAUGUGUUCGUGUAUUAUAAGCGGACAAAGGUUUUUUGGAACCGCUAUUGUUCUCUUUGCAUCUGUUGAUUGGUGUUUUACCAGAUAGUGAGUGAUCUUUUAGAACUAUUGGAGCUUUAUUCUGGUUCAAGAGCAGAAUCUGCACAUUUCUUAAAGCAUAUCAGGGCAUACAAUAGUACAUUUUCAUUUACAUCGCGGUGAGUCGAUCUUUUGAUCCUACGUUUCCACAACGGUGGCAAGAAAUCGACAUUUUUUGAGCCAAAGGGCAGAUUUAUCAUUACACUAAUAGUUUUCUUCCCUCCGCUCACGGUAGUUAAGGGCUUUGUGGAGCUGCUUGGGUUAAAUUUGUAGUUGUACAUUGUUUUGUAAAAUGCAAUUCAGUUAUUAGUUUUGGUGUUGAACUUGACACCACUGCCAAAAACAGAAGUUUCUUGAAAUAUUUGGUUCCUAACUCCAUCUUAUUGUGGCCUAUAAAAAAAAAAAAAAACCCCAUCGUAUUGUGUGGGAAUUUUGUGUUUUCUAAGGCUGUUGGUAAGGUGUUGCCUACAUUAAAUGAAAAAUUAACUCAAAUGACUUUUCGUGUUCCCAACGUCAAUGUCUCAGUGGUUGACCUCACCAUGAGACUGGAGAAGAAGGCUAUAUGACGAAAUCAAACCUGCUAUAAAAUAAGGAUUGGCAAAGAGAAUGACUUUAUGUAUGUUAUAGAGCUACUUCCUUGUUUGUUAUAUUUCCGGACAGUUAGUUUUGUGAGUACUAAUCCUUUGUCUCUUUCAUUGAAUUUUUCGGUUCAUGUUUAUCUUUCUCGGGCGGUUAUCAGUGAGGAGUCAGAAGGAAAGCUAAAGGGAAUCUUGGGUUGCACUGAAGAUGAAGAGGUCUCGACUGACUUUGAAGGAGACAACAGGUUGUUGCUCUGUAGAAAAUGGUUGAUAUACCAUUUAUUGUUGAACAUAGUGUUUCCAAGUUUUAUUAUCUUCUUGCUCCUCUAGGUCAGAAAGUGCUUGCUGAUUAUUAGGCCAUAAUUAGCAUGAGCUCUCCCUGAUUUUGUUUGAUUAUGCUAAUGUUGGAGCUACUCCUAAUAAUCAGUUGUUACCCAGGGUCUAAUAAUCUAAUGUUAUUGAAUAUUUGUAGCAUAUUCAUUUUACAGAUUAGUAUGCAUGGCUUGAUAGUUUUGUUUUCUGUGUAGUAAUGCAGUGUUGCUUUUCCUUCUUAGAAGGGAAACACUACUUGACUACCAUACAAAAUUGCUUGAGAUAACUUUAAUUCGCAAUAUUUGUUACAACUGAGAGAUGGACUCAAUGUUAGAGUACGUGUGGGACGUUUAACGAAUUCAGGAAAUAUUUUCUUUAGGUGGUGCAUGUGGCAAGGGAUUUGAAGCAGCUAGUAAAUCGGUAGUGAAAGAGCCCCAAACUCAUGCAUAUGCCACUGGAGCUUUUAGUCAGCAUUGAAGUGCCAAUCUUUGUUAUAAAAUCACUUUACUUGCUACCAUCAAUAAUACACAUAGUGAAGUCUCUAAUAUAGUUAUCGAGAUCUUCCUUUCCUGUGGAUAUGUGUUUUGAUUUUGAAGAAUCCAUUCAGUGGUUCUGGAGAAUCAAAUAAGUGGUUUCCAAUGCU